UACGUAGGGUGCAAGCGUUAAUCGGAAUUACUGGGCGUAAAGCGUGCGCAGGCGGUUAUGUAAGACAGAUGUGAAAUGCCCGGGCUUAACCUGGGAACUGCAUUUGUGACUGCAUGGCUAGAAUCUGGCAGAGGGGGGUAGAAUUCCACGUGUAGCAGUGAAAUGCGUAGAUAUGUGGAGGAACACCGGUGGCGAAGGCGGCAUCCUGGACCGGUAUUGACGCUGAGGCGCGGAAAGCCCAGGGGAGCAAACGGG
RNAcentral lists this ribosomal RNA (255 nucleotides) under uncultured bacterium. RNAcentral's name for it is "partial 16S ribosomal RNA". It matches the Rfam family "Bacterial small subunit ribosomal RNA", at positions 524 to 776 of the family's 1533-position model. The record is from RNAcentral.